RNAcentral lists this long non-coding RNA (2294 nucleotides) under Salmo salar (Atlantic salmon). RNAcentral's name for it is "lncRNA (ENSSSAG00000091317.1, ENSSSAG00020063966.1)". Lineage: Eukaryota; Metazoa; Chordata; Actinopteri; Salmoniformes; Salmonidae. The record is from RNAcentral.
CUGAUGUCAAGUUUGAGGAAAAGACGAAGCAGUACUUUGUCUGUGUUAUCUUUUUUGUAUAUAGUGUACAGUUGUCAAAGUGAGGUAGUUGGCCUCAAUGUUGAAAAUAUAAGAUUCAAGAUAUUUAUUUUCCUACCCUUUGGGGACACAAGAAUAGCUAAUGUUGCCUUCCAGGGGAGCUGCGUUUGAAUUGACUUUCACCCCUCUUUUCCUCUAUAUUUCUGAAUGAGUCUGGGUGGUUCUCAAGGUCCUUGAUGAGGCAUUUUUAUCCUUUCUUGCAAUGGAAGAUGGCUUGUCGUCAUUCAGGGGCCAAAACGGAUACUACAUACCUACUACAGAGUGAAUUCAGCCAAACCUAAAAAAAGAAGUAUCACUUUAUCAGUAUUGUGUGAAUGCAUGGUAUUGUAACUUCUUUCACAGUUUUGACUGGUUUAAACAAAACAAAAGGAAUCAAGCCCAAUUUUUUCUCUCACAUUAAGCACAUUGAUUCACUAUUAGGACAGCUGAUGCGUAAAAAAUAGCCAUAUUAUGACUUCUGUUUAUUUCACCUUUCUCAUUGUUCCUAUUAGUGAUGUCACACACAUUGACAAUAUUUUAUUGAUACACUCUUCCUCAGCUUGUCACAAGCCUAGGCCCAUCUCUAGACUAAUUGUUUUAUGUAUUAACAUUGGUCAUAUAUACUGUAUAGCCUGGUCCCCUUCUGUAAGUGUGCUGUAGCCAACUUUCUAUUCUUCUAUCCUUGUCAAGCUAUACAUACACUAUAUAUACAUAUGGAAACCCCUUCAAAUUAGUGGAUUCGGCUAUUUCAGCAAGCACCAGUUCCUGACAGGUGUAUUAAACUGAGCACAAAGCCAUGCAAUCUCCAUAAACAAACAUUGGCAGUAGAAUGGCCUUACUGAAGAGCUCAGUGACAUUCAACAUGGCACCGUCAUAGGAUGCCAACUUUACAGCAAGUCAGUUCAUCAAAUUUCUGCCCUGCAAGAGCUGCCCCGCUCAAUUGUAAGUGCUGUUAUUGUGAAGUGGAAACAUCUAGGCGCAACAACGGCUCAGCCAUGAAGUGGUAGGCCACACAAGCUCACAGAACAGGACCGCCGAGUGCUGAAGUGCGCAGCGCGUAAACAUCGUCUGUCCUCGGUUGCAACACUCACUACCGAGUUCCAAACUGCCUCUGGAGGCAGCGUCAGGAUCUUCAUGAAAUGGGUUUCCAUGGCCGAGCAGUUGGCUGGAGUGGUGUAAAGCUCACCGCCAUUGGACUCUGGAGCAGUGGAAAUGCGUUCUUUGGAGUGAUUAAUCACCCUUCACCAUCUGGCAGUCUGACGGAAGAAUCUUGGUUUGGCGGAUACCAGGAGAACACUACCUGCCCCAAUGCAUUGUGCCAACUGUAAAGUUUGGUGGAGGAGGAAUAAUGGUCUAGGGCUGUUUUCAUGAUUCGGGCUAGGCCCCUUAGUUCCAGUGAAGGGAAAUGUUAACGCUACAGCAUACAAUGACAUUCUAGACAGUUCUGUGCUUCCCACUUUCUGGCAACAGUUUGGGGAAGGCCCUUUCCUGUUUCACAUGACAAUGCCCCCGUGCACAAAGCGAGGUCCAUACAGAAAUGGUUUGUCGAGAUCGGUGUGGAAGAACUUGACUGGCAUGCACAGAGCCCUGACCUCAACCCCAUCGAACACCUUUGGGAUGAAUUGGAACGCCGACUGCGAGCCAGGCCUAAUUGCCCAACAUCAGUGCCCAACCUCACUAAUGCUCUUGUGGCUGAAUGGAAGCAAGUCCCCGCAGCAAUGUUCCAACAUCUAGUGGAAAGCCUUCCCAGAAGAAUGGAGGCUGUUAUAGCAGCAAAGGGGGGACCAACUUUAUUUUAAUGCCCAUGAUUUUGGAAUGAGAUGUUCGACGAGAAGGUGUCCACAUACCUUUGGUCAUGUAGUGUACAUCCUGUAUGACAAGGAACGAACACAGAGAGAAGUUGGCAAAAGCGCAAACAGACUGGACCACCAGGCUAGGUAAUACGAGCACCAUAUUUCUCUCAGAAUGCUUGUUCUAGGUUUCAUUGAGUGUUUUAUUUUAUUUAUCAGGGUUUUUGUUUUAAAUGUAUUUGUUUGCUGUUAAAAUGUAUUUGAAUGUCAUGAUUUUUCUUUCAUUGUGCACGCAAAACAGGAGGGACGUACACAAUCUGUAAUGUGUACCAAGGCUGAAUUAGUUCUGUCACAGAAAAUAAAAGUUUUGAAACCUAGCUUGUUUCAGGGAAAUCAGUGGAGUUGUUAUUGGUGUGUACAUGAUUGUGUAUGAUGUUAGGAGUUGGG